This 1478-nucleotide ribosomal RNA is filed under the name uncultured Bordetella sp. RNAcentral's name for it is "partial 16S-23S ribosomal RNA intergenic spacer". It matches the Rfam family "Bacterial small subunit ribosomal RNA". Lineage: Bacteria; Pseudomonadati; Pseudomonadota; Betaproteobacteria; Burkholderiales; Alcaligenaceae. The record is from RNAcentral.
UUCGAUCAUAGCUCAGAUUGAACGCUGGCGGGAUGCUUUACACAUGCAAGUCGAACGGCACGGACUUCGGUCUGGUGGCGAGUGGCGAACGGGUGAGUAAUGUAUCGGAACGUGCUAGUAGCGGGGGAUAACUGCGAAAGCGUAGCUAAUACCACGCAUACGCCCUUCGAAGGGGAAAGCGAGACAUGGAGCCUCGCACUAUUAGAGCGGCCGAUAUCGGAUUAGCUAGUUGGUGGGGUAACGGCUCACCAAGGCGACGAUCCGUAGCUGGUUUGAGAGGACGACCAGCCACACUGGGACUGAGACACGGCCCAGACUCCUACGGAGGCAGCAGUGGGGAAUUUUGGACAAUGGGGGAAACCCUGAUCCAGCCAUCCCGCGUGUGCGAUGAAGGCCUUCCGGGUUGUAAAGCACUUUUGGCAGGAAAGAAACGGCACGGGAUAAUGCCCCGUGCAACUGACGGUACCUGCAGAAUAAGCACCGGCUAACUACGUGCACCCAGCAGCCGCGGUAAUACGUAGGGUGCAAGCGUUAAUCGGAAUUACUGGGCGUAAAGCGUGCGCAGGCGGUUCCGGAAGAAGAUGUGAAAUCCCAGAGCUUAACUUUGGAACUGCAUUUUUAACUACCGAGCUAGAGUGUGUCAGAGGGAGGUGGAAUUCCGCGUGUAGCAGUGAAAUGCGUAGAUAUGCGGAGGAACACCGAUGGCGAAGGCAGCCUCCUGGGAUAACACUGACGCUCAUGCACGAAAGCGUGGGGAGCAAACAGGAUUAGAUACCCUGGUAGUCCACGCCCUAAACGAUGUCAACUAGCUGUUGGGGCCUUCGGGUCUUGGUAGGCGCAGCUAACGCGUGAAGUUGACCGCCUGGGGAGUACGGUCGCAAGAUUAAAACUCAAAGAAAUUCGACAGGGACCCGCACAAGCUGAUGGAUGAUGUGGAUUAAUUCGAUGCAACGCGAAAAACCUUACCUACCCUUGACAUGUCUGGAAUCCCGAAGAGAUUUGGGAGUGCUCGCAAGAGAACCGGAACACAGGUGCUGCAUGGCUGUCGUCAGCUCGUGAGAUGUUGGGUUAAGUCCCGCAGGCGCAGCCGCAUCAUUAGUUGCUACGAAAGGGCACUCUAAUGAGACUGCCGGUGACAAACCGGAGGAAGGUGGGGAUGACGUCAAGUCCUCAUGGCCCUUAUGGGUAGGGCUUCACACGUCAUACAAUGGUCGGGACAGAGGGUCGCCAACCCGCGAGGGAGCCAAUCCCAGAAACCCGAUCGUAGUCCGGAUCGCAGUCUGCAACUCGACUGCGUGAGUCGAAUCCUUUAGUAAUCGCGGAUCAGCAUGUCGCGGUGAAUACGUUCCCGGGUCUUGUACACACCGCCCGUCACACCACGGGAGUGGGUUUACCCAGAAGUAGUUAGCCUAACCGUAAGAGGAGGACGAUUACCACGGUAGGAUUCAUGACUGGGAGUGAAGUCGUAACAAGGUAAG